CGGAGUAGCUCAGUGGUAGAGCAGCUGAUUUGUAAUCAGCGGGUCGGGGGUUCAAAUCCCUUCUCCG
This 67-nucleotide transfer RNA is filed under the name bovine gut metagenome. It matches the Rfam family "tRNA". From Rfam's summary of the family: Transfer RNA (tRNA) molecules are approximately 80 nucleotides in length. Their secondary structure includes four short double-helical elements and three loops (D, anti-codon, and T loops). The record is from RNAcentral.